AAGUCGUAACAAGGUUUCCGUAGGUGAACCUGCGGAAGGAUCAUUAACACGUAUCCAACGUUAAACCCCCCGUGAACCUUCAUUGUGCUCCCCCAUUCCGUUAGGACGCGGCAAUCCCUGGUAAAUCAUCGCCGAACAGUUUUGAUUCAGGGACCUCUGCAUGGAGUGGGCAGCAGCGCGAGGCCCGACACGGCCGGCGACCGGGUCACUGGGCUCACGCCCCCCUAUCACCUUUGCAUGAAAACGGGCCUGCGCUUAAUUGUGCGGCCACCAAACUCGAACAACUGUUAACAAUGGAUAUCUUGGUUCUC
This 311-nucleotide unclassified non-coding RNA is filed under the name fungal sp. RNAcentral describes it as "partial internal transcribed spacer region". The stretch from base 1 to 46 matches the Rfam family "Eukaryotic small subunit ribosomal RNA", at positions 1786 to 1831 of the family's 1831-position model. The record is from RNAcentral. Lineage: Eukaryota; Fungi.